UGAGAGGGUGACCGGCCACACUGGGACUGAGAUACGGCCCAGACUCCUACGGGAGGCAGCAGUGGGGAAUAUUGCACAAUGGGCGCAAGCCUGAUGCAGCGACGCCGCGUGGGGGAUGACGGCCUUCGGGUUGUAAACCUCUUUCACCAUGGACGAAGCGCCUAUGACGGUACCUGUGGAAGAAGGACCGGCCAACUACGUGCCAGCAGCCGCGGUAAUACGUACGGUGCGAGCGUUGUCCGGAAUUACUGGGCGUAAAGAGCUCGUAGGUGGUUUGUCGCGUUGUUCGUGAAAACUCACAGCUUAACUGUGGGCGUGCGGGCGAUACGGGCAGACUAGAGUACUGCAGGGGAUACUGGAAUUCCU
RNAcentral lists this ribosomal RNA (366 nucleotides) under uncultured bacterium. Its description in RNAcentral is "bacterial SSU rRNA". It matches the Rfam family "Bacterial small subunit ribosomal RNA", at positions 293 to 671 of the family's 1533-position model. The record is from RNAcentral.